UUUUUUUUAUGUGUGUUUUCAUAUUGAGGUUGUUUUCUUUGUUUUCUCAUUCGAUGGUUUAGGUGUGUUUUGUUUGUUUAGACUGCUAUCAUGUUGUUUUAUCCCCUUUUUUCUCUACUUGUGCUGCGCAUUUGUUGUGGGUUUUGGUGGCUAUCUGUACCAUGCUAUAUGUAGUUAGAAGCUUAUGUCAUGUUAGUGGUUUUUAUAUUGUGUUUAUUUUG
RNAcentral lists this long non-coding RNA (221 nucleotides) under Trifolium pratense (red clover). RNAcentral's name for it is "long non-coding RNA (TPRA_LNC003961)". Lineage: Eukaryota; Viridiplantae; Streptophyta; Magnoliopsida; Fabales; Fabaceae. The record is from RNAcentral.